RNAcentral lists this ribosomal RNA (263 nucleotides) under uncultured bacterium. Its description in RNAcentral is "partial 16S ribosomal RNA". It matches the Rfam family "Bacterial small subunit ribosomal RNA", at positions 524 to 785 of the family's 1533-position model. The record is from RNAcentral.
CACGUAGGGUGCGAGCGUUGUCCGGAAUUAUUGGGCGUAAAGAGCUUGUAGGCGGUGUGUCGCGUCGGCCGUGAAAACCUGCAGCUUAACUGUGGGCUUGCGGUCGAUACGGGCAUCACUGGAGUUCGGCAGGGGAGACUGGAAUUCCUGGUGUAGCGGUGAAAUGCGCAGAUAUCAGGAGGAACACCGAUGGCGAAGGCAGGUCUCUGGGCCAGCUACUGACGCUGAGAAGCGAAAGCAUGGGGAGCGAACAGGAUAGAUAC